CCUACCUGAUUUGAGAUCGAACGUUAAAAAGCUGUCCUCGCUGAGGAGAGACAUCUAUGAGCUCCAGCGAACCUUUGUCACCAAAGGUUACCUGGUGGACAACCGCGAGCGUAGAUAGUUAUCACACUCGUGACGCCACCAAACACUGGGAGGCUGAUUCAUUUGAGAGGAGCUGACCACAGGCCAGCAAAACCCCCAAGGUCCAAGCUCAUCACGGCAAACCAUGAGAGUUGAGGUGUUCAUGAUACUCAAACAGGCAUGCCCCUCGGAAUAGCCAAGGGGCGCAAGGUGCGUUCAAAGAUUCGAUGAUUCACUGAAUUCUGCAAUUCACAUUACUUAUCGCAUUUCGCUGCGUUCUUCAUCGAUGCGAGAGCCAAGAGAUCCGUUGCUGAAAGUUGUAUUGUAUUGCGUUAGACGCGGCAUACAUUCCAUAAGACUUUAUUACAGUGUGUGUGUAAAGACAUAGAACCACGGAAGGAAGACGGGGUCCCCCAUACCGUAGAACUACAGAGGGUGCACAGGUGUGAGUGGAUGUGUAAACAGAGCGUGCACAUGUCCCCAUUUGAGGACCAGCAACAGCCCGUUUGACAAUUCAGUAAUGAUCCUUCC
RNAcentral lists this unclassified non-coding RNA (609 nucleotides) under uncultured fungus. Its description in RNAcentral is "sequence contains ITS1, 5.8S rRNA gene, ITS2 and 28S rRNA gene". Lineage: Eukaryota; Fungi. The record is from RNAcentral.